RNAcentral lists this ribosomal RNA (309 nucleotides) under uncultured bacterium. RNAcentral describes it as "bacterial SSU rRNA". It matches the Rfam family "Bacterial small subunit ribosomal RNA", at positions 29 to 328 of the family's 1533-position model. The record is from RNAcentral.
AAUGAACGCUGGCGGCGCGCCUAAUACAUGCAAGUCGAGCGAGAAGACGUAGCAAUACGUUUGUAAAGCGGCGAACGGGUGAGGAAUACAUGGGUAACCUACCCUCGAGUGGGGAAUAACUAGCCGAAAGGUUAGCUAAUACCGCGUACGCUUCUUGGACUUCGGUUCAGGGAGGAAAGCGAUACCGUGGGUAUCGCGCUCUUGGAUGGGCUCAUGUCCUAUCAGCUUGUUGGUGAGGUAACGGCUCACCAAGGCUUCGACGGGUAGCUGGUCUGAGAGGACGAUCAGCCACACUGGCACUGCGACGAC